UUUAUGGAGAGUUUGAUCCUGGCUCAGGAUGAACGCUGGCGGCGUGCCUAAUACAUGCAAGUCGAGCGAACGGACGAGAAGCUUGCUUCUCUGAUGUUAGCGGCGGACGGGUGAGUAACACGUGGAUAACCUACCUAUAAGACUGGGAUAACUUCGGGAAACCGGAGCUAAUACCGGAUAAUAUUUUGAACCGCAUGGUUCAAAAGUGAAAGACGGUCUUGCUGUCACUUAUAGAUGGAUCCGCGCUGCAUUAGCUAGUUGGUAAGGUAACGGCUUACCAAGGCAACGAUGCAUAGCCGACCUGAGAGGGUGAUCGGCCACACUGGAACUGAGACACGGUCCAGACUCCUACGGGAGGCAGCAGUAGGGAAUCUUCCGCAAUGGGCGAAAGCCUGACGGAGCAACGCCGCGUGAGUGAUGAAGGUCUUCGGAUCGUAAAACUCUGUUAUUAGGGAAGAACAUAUGUGUAAGUAACUGUGCACAUCUUGACGGUACCUAAUCAGAAAGCCACGGCUAACUACGUGCCAGCAGCCGCGGUAAUACGUAGGUGGCAAGCGUUAUCCGGAAUUAUUGGGCGUAAAGCGCGCGUAGGCGGUUUUUUAAGUCUGAUGUGAAAGCCCACGGCUCAACCGUGGAGGGUCAUUGGAAACUGGAAAACUUGAGUGCAGAAGAGGAAAGUGGAAUUCCAUGUGUAGCGGUGAAAUGCGCAGAGAUAUGGAGGAACACCAGUGGCGAAGGCGACUUUCUGGUCUGUAACUGACGCUGAUGUGCGAAAGCGUGGGGAUCAAACAGGAUUAGAUACCCUGGUAGUCCACGCCGUAAACGAUGAGUGCUAAGUGUUAGGGGGUUUCCGCCCCUUAGUGCUGCAGCUAACGCAUUAAGCACUCCGCCUGGGGAGUACGACCGCAAGGUUGAAACUCAAAGGAAUUGACGGGGACCCGCACAAGCGGUGGAGCAUGUGGUUUAAUUCGAAGCAACGCGAAGAACCUUACCAAAUCUUGACAUCCUUUGACAACUCUAGAGAUAGAGCCUUCCCCUUCGGGGGACAAAGUGACAGGUGGUGCAUGGUUGUCGUCAGCUCGUGUCGUGAGAUGUUGGGUUAAGUCCCGCAACGAGCGCAACCCUUAAGCUUAGUUGCCAUCAUUAAGUUGGGCACUCUAAGUUGACUGCCGGUGACAAACCGGAGGAAGGUGGGGAUGACGUCAAAUCAUCAUGCCCCUUAUGAUUUGGGCUACACACGUGCUACAAUGGACAAUACAAAGGGCAGCGAAACCGCGAGGUCAA
This 1284-nucleotide ribosomal RNA is filed under the name Staphylococcus aureus. RNAcentral describes it as "bacterial SSU rRNA". It matches the Rfam family "Bacterial small subunit ribosomal RNA", at positions 1 to 1266 of the family's 1533-position model. The record is from RNAcentral. Lineage: Bacteria; Bacillati; Bacillota; Bacilli; Caryophanales; Staphylococcaceae.